UACGUAGGGUGCAAGCGUUGUUCGGAUUUACUGGGCGUAAAGGGCGCGCAGGCGGCUCAUUUUGUCAGGCGUGAAAGCCCCGGGCUUAACCUGGGAGGUGCGUUUGAUACGGAUGGGCUAGAGUUCGGGAGAGGAGAGUGGAAUUCCCAGUGUAGAGGUGAAAUUCGUAGAUAUUGGGAAGAACACCGGUGGCGAAGGCGGCUCUCUGGACCGAGACUGACGCUGAGGCGCGAAAGCGUGGGGAGCAAACAGG
Molecule: ribosomal RNA, 253 nt
Filed under: uncultured bacterium
Lineage: Bacteria
Description: partial 16S ribosomal RNA
Rfam family: Bacterial small subunit ribosomal RNA
Source: RNAcentral